GACGAACCGUCCAAACGUUAUUCGGAAUCACUGGGCUUACAGAGGUCGUAGGCGGUCUGGAAAGUUGGGUGUGAAAUCCCUCGGCCUAACCGAGGAACUGCGCUUGAAACUACCAGACUCGAGGGAGAUAGAGGAAAGCGGAACUGAUGGUGGAGCGGUGAAAUGCGUUGAUAUCAUCAGGAACACCGGUGGCGAAGGCGGCUUUCUGGGUCUUACCUGACGCUGAGGAACGAAAGCCAGGGGAGCGAACGGG
This 253-nucleotide ribosomal RNA is filed under the name uncultured bacterium. RNAcentral's name for it is "partial 16S ribosomal RNA". It matches the Rfam family "Bacterial small subunit ribosomal RNA", at positions 524 to 776 of the family's 1533-position model. The record is from RNAcentral.